This 699-nucleotide ribosomal RNA is filed under the name uncultured Vagococcus sp. Its description in RNAcentral is "bacterial SSU rRNA". It matches the Rfam family "Bacterial small subunit ribosomal RNA", at positions 801 to 1502 of the family's 1533-position model. Lineage: Bacteria; Bacillati; Bacillota; Bacilli; Lactobacillales; Enterococcaceae. The record is from RNAcentral.
CGUAAACGAUGAGUGCUAAGUGUUAGGGGGUUCCGCCCUUUAGUGCUGCAGCUAACGCAUUAAGCACUCCGCUGGGGAGUACGACCGCAAGGUUGAAACUCAAAGGAAUUGACGGGGGCCCGCACAAGCGGUGGAGCAUGUGGUUUAAUUCGAAGCAACGCGAAGAACCUUGCCAGGUCUUGACAUCCUUUGACAACUCUAGAGAUAGAGCUUUCCCUUCGGGGACAAAGUGACAGGUGGUGCAUGGUUGUCGUCAGCUCGUGUCGUGAGAUGUUGGGUUAAGUCCCGCAACGAGCGCAACCCUUAUUGUUAGUUGCCAUCAUUCAGUUGGGCACUCUAGCGAAACUGCCGGUGACAAACCGGAGGAAGGUGGGGAUGACGUCAAAUCAUCAUGCCCCUUAUGACCUGGGCUACACACGUGCUACAAUGGACAGUACAAUGAGCAGCGACACGGCGACGUGAAGCGAAUCUCAUAAAGCUGUUCUCAGUUCGGAUUGUAGGCUGCAACUCGCCUACAUGAAGCCGGAAUCGCUAGUAAUCGCGGAUCAGCACGCCGCGGUGAAUACGUUCCCGGGCCUUGUACACACCGCCCGUCACACCACGAAAGUUUGUAACACCCAAAGUCGGUGAGGUAACCUUCGGGAGCCAGCCGCCUAAGGUGGGAUAGAUGAUUGGGGUGAAGUCGUAACAAGGUAACCA